UGGGGAAUAUUGCGCAAUGGGCGAAAGCCUGACGCAGCCACGCCGCGUGAGUGAUGAAGGCCUUCGGGUUGUAAAGCUCUGUCGGGAGGGACGAAGGGGAAACCCUGACGGUACCUCGCAAGAAAGCACCGGCUAACUCUGUGCCAGCAGCCGCGGUAAUACAGAGGGUGCAAGCGUUGCUCGGAUUUACUGGGCGUAAAGCAUACGCAGACGGUGAGAAAGGUCGGAUGUGAAAGCCCCGGGCUCAACCCGGGAACUGCAUCCGAAACCAUCUCGCUCGAGUGUGGGAGAGGGAAGCGGAAUUCCUGGUGUAGAGGUGAAAUUCGUAGAUAUCAGGAGGAACACCGGCGGCGAAGGCGGCUUCCUGGCCCAUUACUGACGUUCAGGUACGAAAGCGUGGGUAGCAAACAGGAUUAGAUACCCUGGUAGUCCACGCCGUAAACGAUGUGUGCUGGAUGUCGGGGGUAUUCACCCCCUCGGUAUCGAAGCCAACGCGAUAAGCACACCGCCUGGGGAGUACGGCCGCAAGGUUGAAACUCAAAGGAAUUGACGGGGUCAUAGCUGUUUCCU
Molecule: ribosomal RNA, 570 nt
Filed under: uncultured bacterium
Lineage: Bacteria
Description: partial 16S ribosomal RNA
Rfam family: Bacterial small subunit ribosomal RNA
Source: RNAcentral